This 1449-nucleotide ribosomal RNA is filed under the name uncultured bacterium. RNAcentral's name for it is "16S ribosomal RNA". It matches the Rfam family "Bacterial small subunit ribosomal RNA". The record is from RNAcentral.
UUAGAGUUUGAUCCUGGCUCAGGACGAACGCUGGCGGCGUGCUUAACACAUGCAAGUCGAACGAUGAUCCGGUGCUUGCACCGGGGAUUAGUGGCGAACGGGUGAGUAACACGUGAGUAACCUGCCCUUGACUCUGGGAUAAGCCUGGGAAACCGGGUCUAAUACCGGAUACGACCUUUCACCGCAUGGUGGUUGGUGGAAAGAUUUUUUGGUUUUGGAUGGACUCGCGGCCUAUCAGCUUGUUGGUGAGGUAAUGGCUCACCAAGGCGACGACGGGUAGCCGGCCUGAGAGGGUGACCGGCCACACUGGGACUGAGACACGGCCCAGACUCCUACGGGAGGCAGCAGUGGGGAAUAUUCCACAAUGGGCGAAAGCCUGAUGGAGCAACGCCGCGUGCAGGAUGAAGGCCCUAGGGUCGUAAACUGCUUUUAUCUGUGAAGAUUAUGACGGUAGCAGAUGAAUAAGGAUCGGCUAACUCCGUGCCAGCAGCCGCGGUCAUACGGAGGAUCCGAGCGUUAUCCGGAAUGACUGGGCGUAAAGAGUUGCGUAGGUGGCAUGUUAAGCGAAAUGUGAAAUCGGGUGGCUCAACCAUCCGGCUAUAUUUCGAACUGGCAAGCUAGAGCACAUGAGGGGUACCUGGAAUUCCCGGUGUAGGAGUGAAAUCCGUAGAUAUCGGGAGGAACACCAAUGGCGUAGGCAGGGUACUGGCAUGUGGCUGACACUAAGGCACGAAAGCGUGGGGAGCGAACGGGAUUAGAUACCCCGGUAGUCCACGCCGUAAACUAUGGAUGCUAGCUGUGGGGGGUAUCGACCCCCUCCGUAGCGAAGCUAACGCGUUAAGCAUCCCGCCUGAGUAGUACGAGCGCAAGCUUAAAACUCAAAGGAAUUGACGGGGACCCGCACAAGCGGUGGAGCGUGUUGUUUAAUUCGAUGAUAAGCGAAGAACCUUACCAGGGUUUGACAUCCCGAGAAGGCUUCCGAAAGGAAACUGUGCCGUAAGGAACUCGGUGACAGGUGUUGCAUGGCCGUCGUCAGCUCGUGUCGUGAGAUGUUGGGUUAAGUCCCGCAACGAGCGCAACCCUUAUGUUUAGUUGGAUUUUUCUAAACAGACUGCCUCGGCAACGGGGAGGAAGGGGGGGAUGAUGUCAGGUCAGUAUUACCCUUACAUCCUGGGCUACAAACACGCUACAAUGGCCGGUACAAAGGGCGGCGAAGCCGCGAGGUGGAGCAAACCCCAUCAAAGCCGGUCCCAGUUCGGAUUGCAGGCUGAAACUCGCCUGCAUGAAGUCGGAAUCGCUAGUAACCGUAGGUCAGCACACUACGGUGAAUACGUUCCCGGGUCUUGUACACACCGCCCGUCAAGCCACGAAAGUCGCCAACACCCGAAGUACGCUUCGCGCGUCCUAAGGUGGGGGAGAUGAUUGGGGUUAAGUCGUAACAAGGUAACC